GUGCCAGCAGCCGCGGUAAGACAUAAGGGGCAAGUGUUAUCCGGAAUUAUUGGGCGUAAAGGGUGCGUAGGCGGUCUAGUAAGUCAGUGGUGUAAUGGCAACGCUCAACGUUGUCCGGCUAUUGAAACUGCUAAACUUGAGUUAGAUAGAGGCGAGUGGAAUUCCAUGUGUAGCGGUAAAAUGCGUAAAUAUAUGGAGGAACACCAGAGGCGUAGGCGGCUCGCUGGGUCUUAACUGACGCUGAGGCACGAAAGCGUGGGGAGCAAACAGGAUUAGAUACCCUGGUAGUCCACGCCGUAAACGAUGAGUACUAAGUGUCGGGUUAAACCGGUACUGAAGUUAACACAUUAAGUACUCCGCCUGAGUAGUACGUACGCAAGUAUGAAACUUAAAGGAAUUGACGGGACUCCGCACAAGCGGUGGAUCAUGUUGUUUAAUUCGAAGAUACCCGAAAAACCUUACCAGGUCUUGACAUGUUUUUGCGAAACGGUAGUAAUAUCGUGGAGGUUAUCAGAAACACAGGUGGUGCAUGGUUGUCGUCAGCUCGUGUCGUGAGAUGUUAGGUUAAGUCCUAAAACGAGCGAAACCCUUAUCGUUAGUUGCCAGCACGUUAUGGUGGGGACUUUAACGAGACUGCCAGUGAUAAACUGGAGGAAGGUGAGGAUCACGUCAAAUCAGCAUGCCCCUUAUGACCUGGGCUACAAACGUGAUACAAUGGCUGUUACAAAGGGUAGCUGAAACGCAAGUUCUUGGCCAAUCCCCAAAAACAGUCUCAGUCCGGAUUGAAGUCUGCAACUCGACUUCAUGAAGUUGGAAUCGCUAGUAAUCGCGAAUCAGCAUGUCGCGGUGAAUACGUUCUCGGGGUUUGUACACACCGCCCGUCAAACCACGAAAGUUGGCAAUACCCCAAAACGGUAGCCUAACUCGUUUAUGCGAGAGGGCGCCGUCUAAGGUAGGGUCGAUGAUUGGGGUUAAGUCGUAACAAGGUAUCCCUACCGGAAGGUGGGGAUGGAUCACCUCCUUU
Molecule: ribosomal RNA, 1024 nt
Filed under: Candidatus Phytoplasma gossypii
Lineage: Bacteria; Bacillati; Mycoplasmatota; Mollicutes; Acholeplasmatales; Acholeplasmataceae
Description: bacterial SSU rRNA
Rfam family: Bacterial small subunit ribosomal RNA
Source: RNAcentral